UACGUAGGGUGCAAGCGUUAAUCGGAAUUACUGGGCGUAAAGCGUGCGCAGGCGGUGAUGUAAGACAGUUGUGAAAUCCCCGGGCUCAACCUGGGAACUGCAUCUGUGACUGCAUCGCUGGAGUGCGGCAGAGGGGGAUGGAAUUCCGCGUGUAGCAGUGAAAUGCGUAGAUAUCUGGAGGAAUACCGAUGGCGAAGGCAGCCCCCUGGGUUAACACUGACGCUCAUGUACGAAAGCGUGGGGAGCAAACAGG
This 253-nucleotide ribosomal RNA is filed under the name uncultured bacterium. RNAcentral describes it as "partial 16S ribosomal RNA". It matches the Rfam family "Bacterial small subunit ribosomal RNA", at positions 524 to 776 of the family's 1533-position model. The record is from RNAcentral.